Molecule: ribosomal RNA, 305 nt
Filed under: uncultured bacterium
Lineage: Bacteria
Description: bacterial SSU rRNA
Rfam family: Bacterial small subunit ribosomal RNA
Source: RNAcentral
GGGCCUACGGGACGCAGCAGUGGGGGAUAUUGCACAAUGGGGGGAACCCUGAUGCAGCGACGCCGCGUGGGCGAUGGAGUGCUUCGGCAUGUAAAGCCCUAUCAGCAGGGAAGAAAAUGACGGUACCUGACUAAGAAGCCCCGGCUAAAUACGUGCCAGCAGCCGCGGUAAUACGUAUGGGGCAAGCGUUAUCCGGAUUUACUGGGUGUAAAGGGAGCGUAGGCGGCCUGGCAAGCCUGAUGUGAAAUCUGGGGGCUUAACCCCCAAACUGCUUUUGAAACUGUGGGUCUUGAGUGAUGGAGAGG